This 321-nucleotide long non-coding RNA is filed under the name Oryza brachyantha (malo sina). RNAcentral describes it as "long non-coding RNA (OBRA_LNC001306)". Lineage: Eukaryota; Viridiplantae; Streptophyta; Magnoliopsida; Poales; Poaceae. The record is from RNAcentral.
AUCGAAUAUCGGAAGGAGUUUUCAGACACGAAUGAAAAAACGAAUUUCAGAUUCCGUCUAAAAACCGUGAUACGAAUCUUUUGAGUCUAAUUAAUCCAUCAUUAGCACAUGUUGAUACUAUAGUACUUAUGGCUAAUCAUGUACUAAUUAUAGGCUUAAAAGAUUCGUCUCAUGGUUUUCUUCAUAACUAUAUAAUUAAUUUUAAUAUUCAUGUAUAUUUGCCCAAAAAUUUAAUACGAUGUUGUUGAAAAAAUUUUGGAACUAAACAUGGCCUAGUUGUGGACGGAAGAAAUAGAUUGUAAGUUGUAGCUAUUCCCUACC